AUUGAACGCUGGCGGCAGGCCUAACACAUGCAAGUCGAACGGUAACAGGAAACAUCUUGCUGUUUCGCUGACGAGUGGCGGACGGGUGAGUAAUGUCUGGGAAACUGCCUGAUGGAGGGGGAUAACUACUGGAAACGGUAGCUAAUACCGCAUAACGUCGCAAGACCAAAGAGGGGGACCUUCGGGCCUCUUGCCAUCGGAUGUGCCCAGAUGGGAUUCGCUAGUAGGUGGGGUAACGGCUCACCUAGGCGACGAUCCCUAGCUGGUCUGAGAGGAUGACCAGCCACACUGGAACUGAGACACGGUCCAGACUCCUACGGGAGGCAGCAGUGGGGAAUCUUGCACAAUGGGCGCAAGCCUGAUGCAGCCAUGCCGCGUGUAUGAAGAAGGCCUUCGGGUUGUAAAGUACUUUCAGCGGGGAGGAAGGGAGUAAAGUUAAUACCUUUGCUCAUUGACGUUACCCGCAGAAGAAGCACCGGCUAACUCCGUG
Molecule: ribosomal RNA, 490 nt
Filed under: uncultured bacterium
Lineage: Bacteria
Description: partial 16S ribosomal RNA
Rfam family: Bacterial small subunit ribosomal RNA
Source: RNAcentral